Coffea eugenioides is the source of this 818-nucleotide long non-coding RNA. RefSeq lists it as uncharacterized. NCBI's taxonomy places the organism in Eukaryota, Viridiplantae, Streptophyta, Magnoliopsida, Gentianales, Rubiaceae. The record is from RefSeq and is a predicted model, not a curated record. The transcript has 4 exons.
UCAGAUGUUUACCUGCUUACCAUCUCACUUUCUCUGCCUCGGACAGAAAGUUGAAGGUUGAAGUUGUGGGUAGUUGUCAGAGUACUUCAUCAAGACAGCAACUAACGCCCCUUGUAAAUACUCCCAAAAAUUGUUCACAAAUCCAGCUGGUGGAGCGGAAAUGGCUUUGACCAUUUUUUUUAGUGAACUGAGAAAUGCUGUGCGAGGAAGAAAUUAGAUUGCGGACAAUGGAUUGAAAGUCCACGAGAAGGAGAAAAAGAAUCAACUUUCCAGAUUGAGGAAAAUCACAAGGAAAUACUAAAGGGAGGAGAAAAAGAUUAGCUUUUCAGUUUUAGACAAAAAUUUAGGUAUCAGAACUCAGCAGAUCAUAAUCUUCUUAUUCAGAUAUGAGAGUUAAAGCAAAGGAGCUGGGGCUGUUAGCUGAGUCAUAUUUGGAGGGAAUGCAAUCAAUAUACAAAUUGAUUGGCCAAGUGCAGCAUUUAUGGUCCAUUGGGUUCACAAGUUCUUGAUGACAUCCCUGCAGAGAUGCGAGAUUUGUUGGAAGCGUAUGUGUUAGCCGUUGCUUAUUCUCAUUUUGUUUCUAUUUAAGAGAUUAUGACCUCUUCCAAUGUACCCAAAAAAGAAAAAGAAAAAGAAAAAAAUGAGGUUUCUUUAUGAUGUAUAUCCUUGAUAUUUUUUGGAGGAUUUUAUUGUUCUUUUGAUUGGCUUUAUCCCAUAAUGCUGUAAAACCUCUCUAGCAUUAAAGUUGUGCAGAAAUUGUGAGGUCGCUUUCCUCAAAAACUCAAAAGACAAGAUAUGUUGAGAAAGAGUUUUUAAUU